Molecule: long non-coding RNA, 1562 nt
Filed under: Brassica napus (rape)
Lineage: Eukaryota; Viridiplantae; Streptophyta; Magnoliopsida; Brassicales; Brassicaceae
Description: long non-coding RNA (BNAP_LNC005633)
Source: RNAcentral
CUCUCAAAUAAACACACUCACCCAUUCCAAGAAUGAUUUCACUUACAAUAUUCUUUACACUUCUGAUCUAUCAAAUACGCUCUUCAUAAUAUUCUAACUACUACUAGAACUCGGCAAGAACCACUUGGUGAGAUCCCUAGGCUAUUGCAGCGAAUCCAGGUUCAACAAGAAUAGUGAACAUGUUACUUUUAGAUGUCAACCAUCCUUUCAAUGCCUUAACCACAUCUUCAUCUUUCUUGAUUAUCAGACUGUCUUCUACUCUGCACCUUUUCAUCUUUUACAAUUUAAACAAUCAAGUUACUAGAGUACACUUCUUCACCUUUUUCCCAAAAGGUUUUCAACUUGCCAAACUGUUAUGAGCGAUGCUCAAACACUUGGUAGAGUAUCAUUGUAGGCCAUCAGUGACGGGUCUUCUUCCUAAUACUUCUUUCCUCGACAUCCUAAUUGAGCUCGGUAACUAGAUAGCAAAUCUCACUCUGCAAUCGCAAAUGCAUCGGAUGUCGAAACUCAACACGAGUCCGAAGCUGACUCUACAACUCAACCGGAACAUCCGGAAAAUAGCGUUGACCCGGCCAUGAUCGACACGGUCAAGGCGAUCAGCGCAACGUCUACCGCCGAGUAAAAACGCUCGCGGCAUGAAACAGAACUACGANNNNNNNNNNNNNNNNNNNNNNNNNNNNNNNNNNUAAAGUUAAAAUUCGAAGAUAAUACGAACAAAUUGUCUGAACGCGACCACCAAAACCUUACACCCCGUUCGUCGAUUGGCCCCGACGAACACGCCAGCCGUCUUUUCAAACACAAUUCGAUCACUCUUUUUGAUCUUCAAAACGUCCAACACAAGGACGAAAGCGCGCUACAACAAAAAUCCGAAAUUUUGGUUUAGCACUUCCAGUUGGCUUAAAAAUUGCCUCUGAGAAGAUGCUCGAUUCGUACCAUACAAGUCAUAUAAGCCGAGAACGUAUCACGGACUUUAAAUCGGUACGAGUCAGGAAGAAAUAGCAACAGAAAAAACGAUAGUCGGCUAGUCACCGCACAAACCUUAAACCGAAAGUAAACCUAGGUCUUGCCCUAAACCCAACGCUCUGGUCUCUAACAAUUCAAGGCAUGAUAUCUAAAAAUUGAUACGAGAUCUUAAAACCAUGUCUCGCCGUUCGUUUCUAAACGUUCACAAAAUUCUGCAUCUUUUACGAACAGACGAAAGAACGCUACACUAUGAGUUAGGUAUGAGACGACAACUCAUAUUCCUUUCUCUCGACAAUUUAAAAACAUACGCAAACUGAAAUUCUUGAAACAUCCAUCAUAUAUAUAACCGCGUAAAGCGGUAAGGGAUUCAAAGCCACCAACGGCCAGUCCCGAUAAGCAAUAAAAACGGCCAAAACAGGCCCAUACAAUCUCUGAAAUGAAGGCCACAUUCGGCCACAAACAUAGAAUGGAAAGACAAGCAUCUCCCUCUGAAUAAUCACUCCACCUCUCAUGGCCCAAAGUCAAAGUUCCCGGACAACGAAGCACCGAACGCAUCCGCAGGACGAUCCACUUCCUCGCCACCAUCACGAAACCCGGUC